UCAUCGGUUUGCACUUCGAACAGAAUGCCUGGUCUGCGGCUAAGUGUGUUAGUUGUUGUUUGUUUAGGAAGUGUUCGGUCUCAGGUGUCCCUGACAGAGACCGGCGGGGAUGUGAAAAUGCCCGGAGAGACCCUCCUGCUGAGCUGUAAAACCUCCGGGUUCACCUUCAGUAGCUACUACAUGCACUGGGUCCGGCAGCAGCCCGGGAGGGGGCUCGAGUGGGUCGCAGGAAUUAGCAAUGACGCUACCCAGACCUGGUACUCCUCAUCGGUAAAGGGUCGGUUCACCAUCACCAGGGACAAUUCCCAGAACCACCUUAACCUGAACAUAACAAGCCUCAAACCAGAGGACACGGCGGUUUAUUACUGCACUAGAUACACAGUGAUAGGAGUAAGUGAGAUACCCACACAAUAA
Non-coding RNA from Protopterus annectens (West African lungfish), 414 nucleotides. Lineage: Eukaryota; Metazoa; Chordata; Ceratodontiformes; Protopteridae. The record is from the annotation of a RefSeq genome assembly.